Oncorhynchus tshawytscha (Chinook salmon) is the source of this 2400-nucleotide long non-coding RNA. NCBI's taxonomy places the organism in Eukaryota, Metazoa, Chordata, Actinopteri, Salmoniformes, Salmonidae. The record is from Ensembl.
UAACCCUGGGUGAUAUCGGUCUGGUAACGCCCCUAACCCUGGGGGUGUUUGGUCUGGUAACCCCCUAACCCUGGGUGAUAUCGGUCUGGUAACCCCCUAACCCUGGGUGAUAUCGGUCUGGUAACCCCCUAACCCUGGGUGUGUUUGGUCUGGUAACGCCCCUAUCCCUGGGUGAUAUCGGUCUGGUAACGCCCCUAACCCUGGGUGUGUUUGGUCUGGUAACCCCCUAACCCUGGGGGUGUUUGGUCUGGUAACCCCCCUAAUCCUGGGUGUGUUUGGUCUGGUAACCCCCCUAACCCUGGGGGUGUUUGGUCUGGUAACCCCCCUAACCCUGGGGGUGUUUGGUCUGGUCUGUAUGUGAAGACCUUUUGUCAGCUGUGUUUCUGUCAUUGUUUUCUCCACAUCUGGACAAUCUUUCCAUCUUGUACUUUUUAAAAUUCAAUAUCAGAAGUUAGAGUUGUGAUAGAUUAGUUAGUCUGCAGUACUGUAAAACUACUAAUACUAAUAGUAAUAUACUGUACAUCAAACUACUACCACUACUAAUAAUAAUAAUAAACUGUACAUCUGUCUCUCUGUUCUCCUCAGAUAUUAUCCGACUCCACUCUGAACCAUCUCUCCUUCUACAUCACUGACCUGCCUCCCCCUCCUCUUUCCCCCUCAUCCUCCCUUCUCCUUCCCCCUCAUCCUCCCUCCUCUUCCCCCCUCUCCGCCUCUUCCUCCCUCCUCCCCCCUCAUCCUCCCUCCUCCCCCAUCCUCACUCCUCCCCCCCCUCAUCCUCCCUCCUUCCCCUCAUCCUCCCUCCUCCUUCCCCCUCAUCCUCCCCCUUCCCCCUCCUCCUCCCUCCUUCCCCCAUCCUCACUCCUCCCCCACCUCCCCUCUCAUCCUCUCUCCUUCCCCCAUCCUCACUCCUUCAUCUCAUCCUCAUCUUCUCUCCUCCUCAUCCCCCCACCCUCACUCCUCCAUCUUCUCCUCAUCCCCCAUCCUCAUUCCUCCUCAUCCCCCAUCCUCACUCCUCCAUCUCCUCCUCAUCCCCACUCCUCCAUCUCCUCCUCAACCCCAUCCUCACUAAUCCAUCUCCUCCUCAUCCCCAUCCUCACUAAUCCAUCUCUUCCUCAUCCCUAUCCUCACUCCUCCAUCUCCUCCUCAUCCCCCCAUCCUCACUAAUCCAUCUCCUCCUCAACCCCAUCCUUACUAAUCCAUCUCCUCCUCAUCCUCUCUCCUCCCCCAUCGUCAUCCUCACUCCUCCUCACUCCUCCAUCCUCUCUCCUCCUCAUCCCCCCCAUCCUCACUAAUCCAUCUCCUCCUCAACCCCAUCCUUACUAAUCCAUCUCCUCCUCAUCCUCUCUCCUCCCCCAUCGUCAUCCUCACUCCUCCUCACUCCACCAUCCUCACUCCUCCUCACUCCUCCAUCCUCAAUCCUCCUCACUCCACCAUCCUCACUCCUCCAUCCUCACUCCUCCUCACUCCACCAUCCUCACUCCUCCAUCCUCACUCCUCCAUUCUCACUCCUCACUCCUCCUCACUCCUCCAUCCUCACUCCUCCUCACUCCUCCAUCCUCACUCCUCCUCACUCCUCCAUCCUCACUCCUCCAUCCUCACUCCUCCUCACUCCUCCAUCCUCACUCCUCCAUCCUCACUCCUCCUCCUCACUCCUCCAUCCUCACUCCUCUCCUUCCUCAAAUAAUCUGCAUUUAAUUGGUGUUCAACAAAAAGAGAGAAAGAGAGAGAGUGGAACAUACAGCCAAUAGGACACAGUGUGUCUGACAUGUGACAGGGGAUUGUAGAAUAGCAGCCAAUAGGACACAGUUUGUCUGACAUGUGACAGGGGAUUGUAGAAUAGCAGCCAAUAGGACACAGUGUGUCUGACAUGUGACAGGGGAUUGUAGAAUAGCAGCCAAUAGGACACAGUUUGUCUGACAUGUGACAGGGGAUUGUAGAAUAGCAGCCAAUAGGACACAGUGUGUCUGACAUGUGACAGGGGAUUGUAGAAUAGCAGCAUAUAGGACACAGUGUAUCUGAAUCACAAUGUAACACUGUGUGAGACUGAAAGCCUUGAUUCCCAAACAGAUGCUGUCCCUUAGAUGCACUGACAGGAUUAGACUACAUCCCUACCUACCUAGUCACCCGGCUGGCCAGUCAGUCAGCCAGUCGGUCUGUCUCUCUCUCUCUCUCUCUCUCUCUCUCUCUCUCUCUCUCUCUCUCUCUCUCUCUCUCUCUCUCUCUCUCUCUCUCUCUCUCUCUCUCUCUCUCUCUCUCUGAGGAGCAUGUUUAUACUGCCAAAGCAAGUGAAAUAAACAAUAAAAAGUGAAUGUGAUACUAUGUGUAUAUACGGUGUUGUAGCGAUGUGCAAAUAAACUAACAAACAAAAAAAUGUCCUGUCACUGUCAACUGAGAGGGGGG